GACUCGGUUGGAUGGUCUGCCUUUGUGUAUGUACUGCUUGGCCGGGUUCUACCUCUUGGUGAGCCAGCAUGCCCUUCACUGGGUGUGUCGGGGAACCAGGACUUUUACCUUGAGAAAAUUAGAGUGUUCAAAGCAGGCCUUUGCCCGAAUACAUUAGCAUGGCAUAAUAAAAUAGGACGU
Molecule: ribosomal RNA, 180 nt
Filed under: uncultured Glomeromycotina
Lineage: Eukaryota; Fungi; Glomeromycota
Description: partial small subunit ribosomal RNA
Source: RNAcentral